UACAGAGGGUGCAAGCGUUGUCCGGAAUCACUGGGCGUAAAGGGCGCGUAGGUGGCGCGGCAAGUCAACGGUGAAAGCUCGACGCUCAACGUCGAGUCGGCCGUCGAUACUGCUGGGCUUGAGCACUGUAGAGGCAGAUGGAAUUCCGGGUGUAGCGGUGGAAUGCGUAGAGAUCCGGAAGAACACCGGUGGCGAAGGCGGUCUGCUGGGCAGUAGCUGACACUGAGGCGCGACAGCGUGGGGAGCAAACAGG
RNAcentral lists this ribosomal RNA (253 nucleotides) under uncultured bacterium. RNAcentral describes it as "partial 16S ribosomal RNA". It matches the Rfam family "Bacterial small subunit ribosomal RNA", at positions 524 to 776 of the family's 1533-position model. The record is from RNAcentral.